UUGAGGGAAGGUAAUUUGCCAAGCAAGCCCUCUCUGCAGGCGAGGCCCCCAUGCAGAGUCCAGUCCACUGGAGACCAAGAGCGGGCUGAAAAGAAGGGACGGGACAGUGGGGACGCAGGCUGGGCUUGAAAUCACAAGAACACAUGCUGAGUCUGCUACUGUCCACUUAGCCAGCCCUGCCUAGGUCAGUGAGGCACUCUGUGCCUCGGCUACCCUUCUGCGUCUCUCGAAAUGGUGUCUGCUUGAGUGGCUGUGGCCAGAACGGAUCACGGUCUGGUGGCAAAGCCUCCACUGACGCUCCUGUUCUCACUCAGCCAGGCUGAGCAAUAGAUAACAACAAUAAUAAUCAUGUAUGAUGCUUUCAGGUUUGGAAAGCUCUUUGCAAAUAUCAUCUCAUUUGAUCUUCCAAGUAACCCCACGAGUUUUAUAAAAAAGACAAAUGAAAGUCAGAGAGAUUAAAUGGCACCCCCAGGAUAAGCAGCAAUCAAGCCUGGAGAUGAGACAAAAGAGAUGGUUUCAGAGAAAUCUCAGGAGACACAGAUGAACAGAUGCAGAGUGAAGUGAGCAGGACCAGAGGAGUCAUUGUACAAAAGUAACACCAUUGUAAAGACAAAUACUGUGAUUCCAGGGGACUUACUGAAGCAUGCUAUCCAUCUAUUAACUAUACAACCAGUUGAUGAACCAAAAGAACAUUGUAUGUGGCAACACCAAGAGUUUUUGAUGAACAACUGUGAAUGACCUAAUUAUUCUCAGCAACACAAUGAUCCAAGAUAAUUCUAGAGACAAAUGAUGAAAAAUGUCAUCUGCCUUCAGAAAAAAAUAGGCUUUGAAUGGAAACUAAAACCACAUUAUAUUUCACUUUCUUCUUUUAUUUUUCUUUUCUCUUCUUUUCUCCUUUCCUUUUUCCUUUCCUUUCCUUUCCUUUCCUUUCCUUUCCUUUCCUUUCCUUUCCUUUCCUUUUUCCUUUCCUUUUUCCUUUCCUUUCCUUUCCUUUCCUUUCCUUUCCUUUCCUUUCCUUUCCUUUCCUUUCUUUUCUCUUCUUUUCUUUUCUUUCCUUUUCCUUUCUUUCCUUUUUGAGAUUUCUUCUAAAAAAUGACUAACAUGGAAACAUGUUUUACAUGAUUUCACAUAUA
This 1133-nucleotide long non-coding RNA is filed under the name Monodelphis domestica (gray short-tailed opossum). Its description in RNAcentral is "lncRNA (ENSMODG00000040111.1)". Lineage: Eukaryota; Metazoa; Chordata; Mammalia; Didelphimorphia; Didelphidae. The record is from RNAcentral.